GUGCCAGCCGCCGCGGUAAUACCGGCAGCCCGAGUGAUGGCCGAUCUUAUUGGGCCUAAAGCGUCCGUAGCUGGCUGCGCAAGUCCGUCGGGAAAUCCACUCGCCCAACGAGUGGGCGUCCGACGGAAACUGCACAGCUUGGGACCGGAAGAUCCGAGGGGUACGUCCGGGGUAGGAGUGAAAUCCCGUAAUCCUGGACGGACCGCCGGUGGCGAAAGCGCCUCGGAAGGACGGACCCGACGGUGAGGGACGAAAGCUGGGGUCUCGAACCGGAUUAGAUACCCGGGUAGUCC
Molecule: ribosomal RNA, 293 nt
Filed under: uncultured bacterium
Lineage: Bacteria
Description: partial 16S ribosomal RNA
Rfam family: Archaeal small subunit ribosomal RNA
Source: RNAcentral